RNAcentral lists this ribosomal RNA (564 nucleotides) under Trachypenaeus curvirostris. Its description in RNAcentral is "partial 16S ribosomal RNA". It matches the Rfam family "Bacterial large subunit ribosomal RNA", at positions 1796 to 2620 of the family's 2925-position model. The record is from RNAcentral. Lineage: Eukaryota; Metazoa; Arthropoda; Malacostraca; Decapoda; Penaeidae.
UUGCCUGUUUAUCAAAAACAUGUCUAUAUGAUUGAUAUAUAAAGUCUAGCCUGCCCACUGAUUAUAAUUGAAGGGCCGCGGUAUUUUGACCGUGCGAAGGUAGCAUAAUCAUUAGUCUUUUAAUUGAGGGCUUGUAUGAAUGGUUGGACAAAAAAUAAGCUGUCUCAGUUAUAAAAAUUGAAUUUAACUUUUAAGUGAAAAGGCUUAAAUAAUUUAGGGGGACGAUAAGACCCUAUAAAGCUUUACAAUUAUUUAAUUAAAUUAUAAAUUGUUAGUAUAAACUUAAUUUAAUUGAUGUUUGUUUCGUUGGGGCGACGAGAAUAUAAUUUAGUAACUGUUCUUUUGUAGUUUGUUACAAUAAUUUUUGGUAAAAAAUUGAUCCUUUAUUAAAGAUUAAAAGAUUAAGUUACUUUAGGGAUAACAGCGUAAUCUUCCUUGAAAGUUCAUAUCGACAGGAAGGGUUGCGACCUCGAUGUUGAAUUAAGAUUUCUCUAUGGCGCAGCAGUUAUAGUGAGAAGGUCUGUUCGACCUUUAAAUUCUUACGUGAUCUGAGUUCAGACCGGA